CCUACGGGAGGCUGCAGUGGGGAAUAUUGCACAAUGGGCGCAAGCCUGAUGCAGCCAUGCCGCGUGUGUGAAGAAGGCCUUCGGGUUGUAAAGCACUUUCAGCGGGGAGGAAGGCGGUGAGGUUAAUAACCUCAUCGAUUGACGUUACCCGCAGAAGAAGCACCGGCUAACUCCGUGCCAGCAGCCGCGGUAAUACGGAGGGUGCAAGCGUUAAUCGGAAUUACUGGGCGUAAAGCGCACGCAGGCGGUCUGUCAAGUCGGAUGUGGAAUCCCCGGGCUCAACCUGGGAACUGCAUUCGAAACUGGCAGGCUAGAGUCUUGUAGAGGGGGGUAGAAUUCCAGGUGUAGCGGUGAAAUGCGUAGAGAUCUGGAGGAAUACCGGUGGCGAAGGCGGCCCCCUGGACAAAGACUGACGCUCAGGUGCGAAAGCGUGGGGAGCAAACAGGAUUAGAUACCCCUGUAGUC
This 465-nucleotide ribosomal RNA is filed under the name uncultured Klebsiella sp. Its description in RNAcentral is "bacterial SSU rRNA". It matches the Rfam family "Bacterial small subunit ribosomal RNA", at positions 338 to 795 of the family's 1533-position model. The record is from RNAcentral. Lineage: Bacteria; Pseudomonadati; Pseudomonadota; Gammaproteobacteria; Enterobacterales; Enterobacteriaceae.